CUAGCGGCAGGCUUAACACAUGCAAGUCGAGGGGUAGCAGGGAGCUUGCUCCGCUGACGACCGGCGAACGGGCGCGUAACGCGUAUAGAAUCUACCUCUUACUAAGGGAUAGCCCAGAGAAAUUUGGAUUAAUAUCUUAUAGUAUGUUAACUUGGCAUCAAGAUAACAUUAAAGGUUACGGUAAGAGAUGACUAUGCGUCCUAUUAGCUAGAUGGUGUGGUAACGGCACACCAUGGCAACGAUAGGUAGGGGCCCUGAGAGGGGGAUCCCCCACACUGGUACUGAGACACGGACCAGACUCCUACGGGAGGCAGCAGUGAGGAAUAUUGGACAAUGGAGGCAACUCUGAUCCAGCCAUGCCGCGUGCAGGAAGACUGCCCUAUGGGUUGUAAACUGCUUUUAUACAGGAAGAAACACUCUCACGUGUGAGAGCUUGACGGUACUGUAAGAAUAAGGAUCGGCUAACUCCGUGCCAGCAGCCGCGGUAAUACGGAGGAUCCAAGCGUUAUCCGGAAUCAUUGGGUUUAAAGGGUCCGUAGGUGGAUAAUUAAGUCAGAGGUGAAAUCCUGCAGCUCAACUGUAGAAUUGCCUUUGAUACUGGUUGUCUUGAGUUAUUAUGAAGUAGUUAGAAUAUGUAGUGUAGCGGUGAAAUGCAUAGAUAUUACAUAGAAUACCAAUUGCGAAGGCAGAUUACUAAUAAUAUACUGACCCUGAUGGACGAAAGCGUGGGGAGCGAACAGGAUUAGAUACCCUGGUAGUCCACGCCGUAAACGAUGGUCACUAGCUGUUCGAACUUCGGUUUGAGUGGCUAAGCGAAAGUGAUAAGUGACCCACCUGGGGAGUACGUUCGCAAGAAUGAAACUCAAAGGAAUUGACGGGGGCCCGCACAAGCGGUGGAGCAUGUGGUUUAAUUCGAUGAUACGCGAGGAACCUUACCAGGGCUUAAAUGUAAAUUGACAGGUUUAGAGAUAGACUUUUCUUCGGACAAUUUACAAGGUGCUGCAUGGUUGUCGUCAGCUCGUGCCGUGAGGUGUCAGGUUAAGUCCUAUAACGAGCGCAACCCCUGUUGUUAGUUGCCAGCGAGUAAUGUCGGGAACUCUAGCAAGACUGCCAGUGCAAACUGUG
This 1125-nucleotide ribosomal RNA is filed under the name Flavobacterium sp. WED7.4. RNAcentral's name for it is "bacterial SSU rRNA". It matches the Rfam family "Bacterial small subunit ribosomal RNA", at positions 36 to 1166 of the family's 1533-position model. Lineage: Bacteria; Pseudomonadati; Bacteroidota; Flavobacteriia; Flavobacteriales; Flavobacteriaceae. The record is from RNAcentral.